This 460-nucleotide ribosomal RNA is filed under the name uncultured bacterium. RNAcentral describes it as "partial 16S ribosomal RNA". It matches the Rfam family "Bacterial small subunit ribosomal RNA", at positions 338 to 795 of the family's 1533-position model. The record is from RNAcentral.
CCUACGGGUGGCAGCAGUGAGGAAUAUUGGUCAAUGGGCGUAAGCCUGAACCAGCCAAGUCGCGUGAGGGAUGAAGGUUCUAUGGAUCGUAAACCUCUUUUAUAAGGGAAUAAAGUGUGGGACGUGUCCUGUUUUGUAUGUACCUUAUGAAUAAGGAUCGGCUAACUCCGUGCCAGCAGCCGCGGUAAUACGGAGGAUCCGAGCGUUAUCCGGAUUUAUUGGGUUUAAAGGGUGCGUAGGCGGCCUUUUAAGUCCGCGGUGAAAGUCUGUGGCUCAACCAUAGAAUUGCCGUGGAAACUGGGAGGCUUGAGUAUGUUUGAGGCAGGCGGAAUGCGUGGUGUAGCGGUGAAAUGCUUAGAUAUCACGCAGAACCCCGAUUGCGAAGGCAGCCUGCCAAGCCAUGACUGACGCUUAUGCACGAAAGCGUGGGGAUCAAACAGGAUUAGAUACCCGGGUAGUC